CUCUUUGUUCAUACCUCCACCCAGCCCCUCCGUCCUGGGCUAUCUGCCUGUCCAGGUCAGACGGGGAGGGGAGGGGAGGGGUCGGCUCAGCCCCCCAGGGAGCGGGGGCUCCCACCUCCUCUGCUCCCUCCCCUCCCCCUGUUAAAGUGCAAUCCUGUAACUAACACGUGUCAGAUGAGCUCAAUUUGGUAAUUCUGGGCACCUGCAGUGCUGAGUGCCCGAGGGCCCAUCCUGCACGGGGAGGGGCGGGCUUGGUGCGGCUGGCCCUGCCCACCCUCAGCCUGUGGUCAAGACUUUGCGACCAGGCUUGCGGGAUGCGCCAGAAGCUACUGUAUCCUCCCCAUGUUCAUGUUCCUAAGAAACCACUCUCAGAUUGAGGGCUGAAAGGAAGGGGCAGAAGAGAAGAGAGCAGACGUCAGGGGAAGACUCAGGAGAAAGGAGACGGGCUGAUGUGACGUGGAUUCCCGUGAGCUCGAGCUUUAGCUUGGGUCCGAUUCUGGAGGCCCGAGAUGGAAUUCAAACCAAGUUGCCGGUGGAUGGGACCAGGGACUGAUGCCGUCCUACAGGCAUCCCCGGGACCAGGGCACAGAACGCGGGGCUGCGAUAUUGGCUCACGAUGAGCCGUGGCCUCUGAGGACGGCGCCGCACCAGCCCCCCGGGCCCCCGCCUCCAAAGGCUUUGCUAAAUGUACUCCUCAGAGGGUCACCCUUCCUGCCGUGACGUCCUUGCACCAUCAGGUACUGUCUGGAUCAUUUUUGCCGUAUCUACGUACCACGUGCUGUAGUCUGCUGCCUACUCCAUCCUUUUUCCUUAAGUGACCUCACGUUGUUACUUCGGUAAAUUAGUUUAUAAGGAAAUGACCUCACGUUGUUACUUCGGUAAAUUAGUUUAUAAGGAAA
Non-coding RNA from Delphinapterus leucas (beluga whale), 899 nucleotides. The record is from RefSeq and is a predicted model, not a curated record. Lineage: Eukaryota; Metazoa; Chordata; Mammalia; Artiodactyla; Monodontidae.